Molecule: non-coding RNA, 45 nt
Organism: Saccharomonospora azurea NA-128
Lineage: Bacteria; Bacillati; Actinomycetota; Actinomycetes; Pseudonocardiales; Pseudonocardiaceae
Source: Rfam
CCGGCUCCGGUUCACCUCACGCGGUGGCGUGGGGAUCCGGCGGCC